RNAcentral lists this ribosomal RNA (2880 nucleotides) under Acinetobacter baumannii. RNAcentral describes it as "bacterial LSU rRNA". It matches the Rfam family "Bacterial large subunit ribosomal RNA". Lineage: Bacteria; Pseudomonadati; Pseudomonadota; Gammaproteobacteria; Moraxellales; Moraxellaceae. The record is from RNAcentral.
AGUGCAUGUGGUGGAUGCCUUGGCAGUCAGAGGCGAUGAAAGACGUGAUAGCCUGCGAAAAGCUCCGGGGAGGCGGCAAAUAUCCUUUGAUCCGGAGAUGUCUGAAUGGGGGAACCCACCUACUUUAAGGUAGGUAUUGCAACAUGAAUACAUAGUGUUGCAAGGCGAACGAGGGGAAGUGAAACAUCUCAGUACCCUUAGGAAAAGAAAUCAAUUGAGAUUCCCUCAGUAGCGGCGAGCGAACGGGGAUCAGCCCAUUAAGUUAUGUGUGUUUUAGUGGAACGCUCUGGGAAGUGCGAACGUAGAGGGUGAUAUUCCCGUACACGAAAGGGCACACAUAAUGAUGACGAGUAGGGCGAGGCACGUGAAACCUUGUCUGAAUAUGGGGGGACCAUCCUCCAAGGCUAAAUACUCCUGACUGACCGAUAGUGAACCAGUACCGUGAGGGAAAGGCGAAAAGAACCCCUGUGAGGGGAGUGAAAUAGAUCCUGAAACCGCAUGCAUACAAGCAGUGGGAGCACCUUCGUGGUGUGACUGCGUACCUUUUGUAUAAUGGGUCAGCGACUUAUAUUCAGUAGCAAGGUUAACCGUAUAGGGGAGCCGUAGAGAAAUCGAGUCUUAAUAGGGCGUUUAGUUGCUGGGUAUAGACCCGAAACCAGGCGAUCUAUCCAUGAGCAGGUUGAAGGUUGGGUAACACUAACUGGAGGACCGAACCCACUGUCGUUGAAAAGCCAGGGGAUGACUUGUGGAUAGGGGUGAAAGGCUAAUCAAGCCUGGUGAUAGCUGGUUCUCCCCGAAAGCUAUUUAGGUAGCGCCUCGGACGAAUACCAUAGGGGGUAGAGCACUGUUUCGGCUAGGGGGUCAUCCCGACUUACCAAACCGAUGCAAACUCCGAAUACCUAUGAGUACUAUCCGGGAGACAGACUGCGGGUGCUAACGUCCGUAGUCAAGAGGAAAACAAUCCAGACCGCCAGCUAAGGCCCCAAAAUCAUAGUUAAGUGGGAAACGAUGUGGGAAGGCAUAGACAGCUAGGAGGUUGGCUUAGAAGCAGCCACCCUUUAAAGAAAGCGUAAUAGCUCACUAGUCGAGUCGGCCUGCGCGGAAGAUGUAACGGGGCUAAAACUAUGUGCCGAAGCUGCGGAUGUAUACUUUGUAUACGUGGUAGGGGAGCGUUCUGUAAGCCGAUGAAGGUGUGUUGAGAAGCANAUGCUGGAGGUAUCAGAAGUGCGAAUGCUGACGUGAGUAACGACAAAACGGGUGAAAAACCCGUUCGCCGAAAGACCAAGGGUUCCAGUCCAACGUUAAUCGGGGCUGGGUGAGUCGACCCCUAAGGCGAGGCCGAAAGGCGUAGUCGAUGGGAAAAUGGUUAAUAUUCCAUUACUUCUGUGUAAUGCGAUGAGAGGACGGAGAAGGCUAAAUCAGCCUGGCGUUGGUUGUCCAGGUGAAAGGAUGUAGGCAUGUAUCUUAGGCAAAUCCGGGGUACUCUAUGCUGAGAUCUGAUAGCAAGCUGUACUUGUACAGCGAAGUGGUUGAUGCCAUGCUUCCAGGAAAAGUCUCUAAGCUUCAGUUACACAGGAAUCGUACCCGAAACCGACACAGGUGGUCAGGUCGAGUAGACCAAGGCGCUUGAGAGAACUCUGCUGAAGGAACUAGGCAAAAUGGUACCGUAACUUCGGGAGAAGGUACGCUGUUGUUGGUGAUGGAACUCGCUUCCUGAGCUGACGACAGCCGCAGAAACCAGGCCGCUGCAACUGUUUAUUAAAAACAUAGCACUCUGCAAACACGAAAGUGGACGUAUAGGGUGUGAUGCCUGCCCGGUGCUGGAAGGUUAAUUGAUGGGGUUAGCGUAAGCGAAGCUCUUGAUCGAAGCCCCAGUAAACGGCGGCCGUAACUAUAACGGUCCUAAGGUAGCGAAAUUCCUUGUCGGGUAAGUUCCGACCUGCACGAAUGGCAUAAUGAUGGCGGCGCUGUCUCCAGCAGAGGCUCAGUGAAAUCGAAAUCGCUGUGAAGAUGCAGUGUACCCGCGGCUAGACGGAAAGACCCCGUGAACCUUUACUGCAGCUUGACACUGAACUUUGACCUUACUUGUGUAGGAUAGGUGGGAGGCUUUGAAGCUGGAACGCUAGUUCCAGUGGAGCCGUCCUUGAAAUACCACCCUGGUAAUGUUGAGGUUCUAACUCUGUCCCGUGAUCCGGGACGAGGACCGUGUCUGGUGGGUAGUUUGACUGGGGCGGUCUCCUCCUAAAGAGUAACGGAGGAGUACGAAGGUGCGCUCAGCGUGGUCGGAAAUCACGCGUAGAGUAUAAAGGCAAAAGCGCGCUUAACUGCGAGACCCACAAGUCGAGCAGGUACGAAAGUAGGUCUUAGUGAUCCGGUGGUUCUGUAUGGAAGGGCCAUCGCUCAACGGAUAAAAGGUACUCUGGGGAUAACAGGCUGAUACCGCCCAAGAGUUCAUAUCGACGGCGGUGUUUGGCACCUCGAUGUCGGCUCAUCUCAUCCUGGGGCUGAAGCAGGUCCCAAGGGUAUGGCUGUUCGCCAUUUAAAGAGGUACGCGAGCUGGGUUUAGAACGUCGUGAGACAGUUCGGUCCCUAUCUACCGUGGGCGCUGGAAAUUUGAGAGGAUCUGCUCCUAGUACGAGAGGACCAGAGUGGACGAACCUCUGGUGUACCGGUUGUGACGCCAGUCGCAUCGCCGGGUAGCUAUGUUCGGAAGGGAUAACCGCUGAAAGCAUCUAAGCGGGAAGCCUACCUCAAGAUAAGAUUUCCCUAGGACUUUAUGUCCUCUAAAGAGCCGUUCGAGACUAGGACGUUGAUAGGUUGGAUGUGGAAGCAUAGUGAUAUGUGAAGCUGACCAAUACUAAUUGCUCGUGAGGCUUGACU